GCCCAGUGAUAAUUUAUUUAACGGCCGCAGUAAUUUGACUGUGCUAAGGUAGCAUAAUCAUUAGUUUUUUAAUUGAAAACUGGAAUGAAGGGUUUGAUGAAAAAAAUACUGUCUCUUAAUAAAUUAUUUGAAUUUAACUUUUGAGUUAAAAGGCUUAAAUUUAAUUAAAAGACGAGAAGACCCUUUAGAGUUUAAUAAUUUUUUAUUAUAAUUUUUUAUGGUAUUAAAUUUUUUAUUUUAAAAACUUAUUUGAUUGGGGUGAUUAUUAAAUACAAAUAACUUUAAUUUUUUUAUACAUUAAUUAAUGAAUAUUUGAUCCAUUAAAUUGAUUAAUAGAUAAAAUUACCUAAGGGAUAACAGCGUAAUUUUUUUGAAGAGUUCUUAUCGAUAAAAAAGAUUGCGACCUCAAUGUUGGAUUAAAAUUAACAAUUUGGUGUAGAAGCUAAUUAGUUUGGNNUGUUCGACCAUUAAAAUUUUACA
Molecule: ribosomal RNA, 480 nt
Filed under: Colasposoma pretiosum
Lineage: Eukaryota; Metazoa; Arthropoda; Insecta; Coleoptera; Chrysomelidae
Description: partial 16S ribosomal RNA
Rfam family: Bacterial large subunit ribosomal RNA
Source: RNAcentral